Molecule: ribosomal RNA, 328 nt
Filed under: uncultured microorganism
Description: bacterial SSU rRNA
Rfam family: Bacterial small subunit ribosomal RNA
Source: RNAcentral
GUAGUUGAUCGUGGCUCAGAUUGAACGCUGGCGGCAUGCCUUACACAUGCGAAGUCGAACGGCAGCAUGAUCUAGCUUGCUAGAUUGAUGGCGAGUGGCGAACGGGUGAGUAAUACAUCGGAACGUGCCCUGUAGUGGGGGAUAACUAGUCGAAAGAUUAGCUAAUACCGCAUACGACCUGAGGGUGAAAGUGGGGGACCGCAAGGCCUCAUGCUAUAGGAGCGGCCGAUGUCUGAUUAGCUAGUUGUGGGGUAAAGGCCCACCAAGGCGACGAUCAGUAGCUGGUCUGAGAGGACGAUCAGCCACACUGGGACUGAGCACGGCCCAG